This 253-nucleotide ribosomal RNA is filed under the name uncultured bacterium. RNAcentral describes it as "partial 16S ribosomal RNA". It matches the Rfam family "Bacterial small subunit ribosomal RNA", at positions 524 to 776 of the family's 1533-position model. The record is from RNAcentral.
UACGAAGGGGGCUAGCGUUAAUCGGAAUUACUGGGCGUAAAGCGUGCGCAGGCGGUGAUGUAAGACAGUUGUGAAAUCCCCGGGCUCAACCUGGGAACUGCAUCUGUGACUGCAUUGCUGGAGUGCGGCAGAGGGGGAUGGAAUUCCGCGUGUAGCAGUGAAAUGCGUAGAUAUGCGGAGGAACACCGAUGGCGAAGGCAAUCCCCUGGGCCUGCACUGACGCUCAUGCACGAAAGCGUGGGGAGCAAACAGG